ACGGAAGGCGGCAGUGGGGGAUAUUGCACAAUGGGGGAAACCCUGAUGCAGCAAUGCCGCGUGAGGGAAGAAGGUCUUCGGAUUGUAAACCUAAGUAGUCAGGGAUGAAGAAAGUGACAUUACCCGAAGAGUAAGCUCCGGCUAACUACGUGCCAGCAGCCGCGGUAAUACGUAGGGAGCGAGCGUUGUCCGGAUUUACUGGGUGUAAAGGGUGCGUAGGCGGGCUUGCAAGUCAGGCGUGAAAUACCGGGGCUUAACUCCGGGGCUGCGCUUGAAACUGUAAGUCUUGAGUGAAGUAGAGGCAGGCGGAAUUCCCAGUGUAGCGGUGAAAUGCGUAGAUAUUGGGAGGAACACCAGUGGCGAAGGCGGCCUGCUGGGCUUUAACUGACGCUGAGGCACGAAAGUAUGGGGAGCAAACAGGAUUAGAUACCCUGGUA
RNAcentral lists this ribosomal RNA (437 nucleotides) under uncultured Clostridium sp. RNAcentral's name for it is "partial 16S ribosomal RNA". It matches the Rfam family "Bacterial small subunit ribosomal RNA", at positions 341 to 792 of the family's 1533-position model. Lineage: Bacteria; Bacillati; Bacillota; Clostridia; Eubacteriales; Clostridiaceae. The record is from RNAcentral.